GCGCAAGAACGAAACAGACUCUGAAUUGAAUUUGAGAAAUAAAAUAAUAAUUUUACAGACUGUUAUAGUUGUAUAUAUAUUAUUUAACUAUUGUAAUAAUUAUAACAUACCCCUUAUAUUAUAUAUAAUCUACAUUCCCCUAUAAACUAAUUCUAGAUACAGACUUUGUUUAUUACAGACUUUGUAUUUCUAAAUACAAACUAGACUACAAUUAAUAGUCUUCACAGUCUUCUAAUUACAGCCUUUCCUAAGUUCCUUUAUCUUUUUUUAAGCUGCUUAAUUCCCACACAAACCAAACCAUAAAUAUGUGAUAUUGAUUUGCCAGCAAAAACUCCAUCAUCAAACAUCAUCUUUUCUGUCAAGUUUUGCUUCUGAAAUCUUCAGUCUCUUAUAGUGCGAAUUACCUGACGAUGGGGGGGGGUGGAAAAAACCCCAGGUGUGCUCUUUGCCAUCUACCAUCAUAUCAACUAAUCCCAAUAGUUGAGAUUUAUGAUCCUUAGUCCAGUUUCUGCCUACCUCCUCAUUGACUACCUGCAAUAGAGUAUGUACCACUACUACAAUCAUAUAUUUAGCAGAUCCAGACUUAAACAUACUAAAUAGAACAUACCCAAACAUACUAAACAGAUCAGAAACUAUCAGAAUAUCAGAACACACACAAACUCAUUAGUAGUAUCAGAAUAUGCAGAGUAACCAUACAGUCUGAAUUUUUUCCUGUAUUAGAAGAAAGAAAUUUGAAUAGAAUUUAACCUUCUUCCUUUAUCACCUACUUCCUUCCAUACACACAUUUCUAGUAUUUAAAUUGGUUCUUAUGUAAUCCUACAAAAAUCAUUUGUCCAACCAAACACAAGCACACACAUACAAACAAUAUCUAACCAACCAACAAACAAAAUAAUAGGAAAAAAAAAACUGUAGUGAGUCUUAAUAUCAGAAUAAGAACAUGAACAUAAACGAAACAUCAACAACUUUUAUUUAUUUAUUUUAGAGAUCGAAGUAAAAUUAAAUAACAUAUAAGAAUAUUUUAGAGAAGAU
This 1029-nucleotide long non-coding RNA is filed under the name Zostera marina. RNAcentral's name for it is "long non-coding RNA (ZMAR_LNC002362)". The record is from RNAcentral. Lineage: Eukaryota; Viridiplantae; Streptophyta; Magnoliopsida; Alismatales; Zosteraceae.